This 800-nucleotide ribosomal RNA is filed under the name uncultured bacterium. RNAcentral describes it as "bacterial SSU rRNA". It matches the Rfam family "Bacterial small subunit ribosomal RNA", at positions 8 to 802 of the family's 1533-position model. The record is from RNAcentral.
AGAGUUUGAUCCUGGCUCAGAAUGAACGCUGGCGGCGUGUUUAAGACAUGCAAGUCGAACGGAGUAACAUGAGUAGCAAUACAAGUGUUGCUCAGUGGCGCACGGGUGCGUAACACGUGAGUUACAUGCCCUGCAGAGAGGGAUAGCCCAGGGAAACUUGGAUUAAUACCUCAUGGUCUCGCAAGAGUAAAGAUGGCGCAAGCUGUCGCUGCAGGAUUGGCUCGCGGCCUAUCAGCUAGUUGGUGAGGUAACGGCUCACCAAGGCUACGACGGGUACCUGGUCUGAGAGGACGAUCAGGCACACUGGAACUGAGACACGGUCCAGACACCUACGGGUGGCAGCAGUCGAGAAUCAUUCACAAUGGGGGCAACCCUGAUGGUGCAACGCCGCGUGGAGGAAGAAGGUCUUCGGAUUGUAAACUCCUGUCAUCUAGGAGCAAGGCAUGGUGGUAAAUAGCCAACAUGAUUGAUAGUACUAGAAGAGGAAGGGACGGCUAACUUCGUGCCAGCAGCCGCGGUAAUACGAAGGUCCCGAGCGUUAUUCGGAAUCACUGGGCGUAAAGGGAGCGUAGGCGGCGUGGAAAGUCAGAUGUGAAAUCCCAGAGCUCAACUCUGGAACUGCAUCCGAUACUACCAUGCUAGAGUAUUGGAGGGGUAACUGGAUUUCUCGGUGUAGCAGUGAAAUGCGUAGAUAUCGAGAGGAACACUCGUGGCGAAAGCGAGUUACUGGACAAUUACUGACGCUGAGGCUCGAAGGCUAGGGGAGCAAAAGGGAUUAGAUACCCCUGUAGUCCUAGCAG